This 253-nucleotide ribosomal RNA is filed under the name uncultured bacterium. RNAcentral describes it as "partial 16S ribosomal RNA". It matches the Rfam family "Bacterial small subunit ribosomal RNA", at positions 524 to 776 of the family's 1533-position model. The record is from RNAcentral.
UACGUAGGGGGCAAGCGUUAUCCGGAUUUACUGGGUGUAAAGGGAGCGUAGACGGCUUUGCAAGCCAGAUGUGAAAGCCCGGGGCUCAACCCCGGGACUGCAUUUGGAACUGUGUGGCUAGAGUGUCGGAGAGGCAGGCGGAAUUCCUAGUGUAGCGGUGAAAUGCGUAGAUAUUAGGAGGAACACCAGUGGCGAAGGCGGCCUGCUGGUCGAUGACUGACGUUGAGGCUCGAAAGCGUGGGGAGCAAACAGG